Molecule: long non-coding RNA, 235 nt
Filed under: Mustela putorius furo (domestic ferret)
Lineage: Eukaryota; Metazoa; Chordata; Mammalia; Carnivora; Mustelidae
Description: lncRNA (ENSMPUG00000029978.1)
Source: RNAcentral
CGGACCUCGGACAAGGACUUCCUUCCCACUGGUCUCUGAGCCUCACGGAGCAGCAUGGAUGUUAGCCUCAACCAGCCCCAAUAAGGGCCACUGAAAAUCAGGGCCUCCAUUUCCCUACCUAGAAGACGAUGAGUGUGAAGGAGAUGAUCUAAAGUCUUUUCUAGCACCAGAACGCUUAGAUUACCUUGCUGUCCUUGGUUAAGGUGACUUCUAAGCAAGAGUAACAUCCCCCUGC